UACGUAGGUGGCAAGCGUUGUCCGGAAUUAUUGGGCGUAAAGCGCGCGCAGGCGGUCCUUUAAGUCUGAUGUGAAAGCCCACGGCUCAACCGUGGAGGGUCAUUGGAAACUGGGGACUUGAGUACAGAAGAGAAGAGUGGAAUUCCACGUGUAGCGGUGAAAUGCGUAGAGAUGUGGAGGAACACCAGUGGCGAAGGCGACUCUUUGGUCUGUAACUGACGCUGAGGCGCGAAAGCGUGGGGAGCAAACAGG
This 252-nucleotide ribosomal RNA is filed under the name uncultured bacterium. RNAcentral's name for it is "partial 16S ribosomal RNA". It matches the Rfam family "Bacterial small subunit ribosomal RNA", at positions 524 to 776 of the family's 1533-position model. The record is from RNAcentral.